UCCCUGAUGGCUCGGACAGUAAAGAAUCUGCCUGCAAUGCAGGAGACCCAGGUUCGAUCCCUGGUCGGGGAG
Molecule: transfer RNA, 72 nt
Filed under: Bos taurus (domestic cattle)
Lineage: Eukaryota; Metazoa; Chordata; Mammalia; Artiodactyla; Bovidae
Also listed under: 2 other names
Rfam family: tRNA
About the family: Transfer RNA (tRNA) molecules are approximately 80 nucleotides in length. Their secondary structure includes four short double-helical elements and three loops (D, anti-codon, and T loops).
Source: Rfam by way of RNAcentral